UGUUCUAUGGCCGAAUUGGUAAAGGCGAUCACAGGCGAGGUUGCGGGUUCGAGUCCCGCAGGAACGA
This 67-nucleotide transfer RNA is filed under the name Operophtera brumata (winter moth). It matches the Rfam family "tRNA". From Rfam's summary of the family: Transfer RNA (tRNA) molecules are approximately 80 nucleotides in length. Their secondary structure includes four short double-helical elements and three loops (D, anti-codon, and T loops). Further hydrogen bonds mediate the characteristic L-shaped molecular structure. tRNAs have two regions of fundamental functional importance: the anti-codon, which is responsible for specific mRNA codon recognition, and the 3' end, to which the tRNAs corresponding amino acid is attached (by aminoacyl-tRNA synthetases). tRNAs cope with the degeneracy of the genetic code in two manners: having more than one tRNA (with a specific anti-codon) for a particular amino acid; and 'wobble' base-pairing, i.e. permitting non-standard base-pairing at the 3rd anti-codon position. The record is from Rfam by way of RNAcentral. Lineage: Eukaryota; Metazoa; Arthropoda; Insecta; Lepidoptera; Geometridae.